AUUGAACGCUGGCGGCAUGCUUUACACAUGCAAGUCGAACGGCAGCGCGGGCUUCGGCCUGGCUGCGAGUGGCGAACGGGUGAGUAAUACAUCGGAACGUGCCCAGUAGGGGGGGAUAGCUCGGCGAAAGCCGGAUUAAUACCGCAUACGACCUGAGGGUGAAAGCGGGGGAGCUUCGGACCUCGCGCUAUUGGGGCGGCCGAUGGCAGAUUAGCUAGUUGGUGGGGUAAAGGCCUACCAAGGGGACGAUCUGGAGCUGGUCUGAGGGGAAGAGCAGCCAGACUGGGACGGAGACACGGCCCAGACUCCUACGGGAGGCAGCAGUGGGGAAUUUUGGACAAUGGGCGAAAGCAUAAUCCAGCAAUGCCGCGUGUGUGAUGAAGGCCUUCGGGUUGUAAAGCACUUUUGGCGGGAAUGAAAAGGACUGUGCCAAUACCACGGUUCGAUGACGGUACCCGCAGAAUAAGCACCGGCUAACUACGUG
RNAcentral lists this ribosomal RNA (484 nucleotides) under uncultured bacterium. Its description in RNAcentral is "partial 16S ribosomal RNA". It matches the Rfam family "Bacterial small subunit ribosomal RNA", at positions 29 to 507 of the family's 1533-position model. The record is from RNAcentral.